GUGGGGCAGGAAAGGGCGCAGGAUAUUCGAGGAGCAGCUGGGAGGUUUCUGGCCUGUGGGUUGUCCUCCUGACAAACCAUCCUCUUGGUCUUUUUCCCCUCUUAAAUCCAGUUUUGUGUGGUGCAUCCAGACCUGCUUCAGGAAACGCAGUGAGCCUGCCCCAUGGAGCUCUGUGGUGCUGUCACUCUCCGCAGUGCAGGUCCCGUUUUAACAUCAGAGUGGUUGGCACAUCCCUUGCUACACCUGCACCUAUAGACUUCAACUGAUCCACAGUGAAUCCUUCCUUUUCUCUCCGUGCAUGCCUGUAGGGGAGGAGGAUUGAGGUGGGACUGAAUCAUGACAGCAGAAACAAGAAGUAAUAAGCCAGUCCUGUUGUGUGGCAAAGAUGCAGCAUACAGAAGUCAAUACUAAACCAGCUUGCUCACAGGAGAGGAAGGGGUGCAUAUAACCCAAUGCUUUGUCAUUUCAUGCUGGCAUUUGGCACUGGGAGGGCUGGCUGUUGAUGUUCUUUAAUGACAAAAGCCACUUUUUACCCCAUGGCUCCUCUCCCGGGGCUGUCCCACUAGGUGUCAGUGCACACUCGUGUUCCUGUGUGUGCCCACAGCUCUGCUCCGUGCAGCAAUAAACAGCCACCGAGUAAUUUCAGCAUAUUGUUCAUUUGCUGCAGCUGUAAUGUAGGUUUCUGGGGCCAUAUAUCAUAAGGCUGUCUGCUUGCUUAUUCCAUGGCUCAAGGCCGCUGGAGUAUAUCUCACUGUGUUCCUGGGAAAAUGAGCCUCUUGAAGCUGAUUUCACUAAAAGCUGUCACAGUACAUUACUGGAGUGCUUUUUAUUAAAGUUUAUUUUCCAGACUGA
Molecule: long non-coding RNA, 852 nt
Organism: Pezoporus occidentalis (night parrot)
Lineage: Eukaryota; Metazoa; Chordata; Aves; Psittaciformes; Psittacidae
Exons: 2
Source: RefSeq, a predicted model, not a curated record